This 327-nucleotide ribosomal RNA is filed under the name uncultured eukaryote. RNAcentral describes it as "partial 18S ribosomal RNA". It matches the Rfam family "Eukaryotic small subunit ribosomal RNA", at positions 1470 to 1796 of the family's 1831-position model. The record is from RNAcentral.
CCCUUAGAUGUUCUGGGCCGCACACGCGCUACACUGAAGGAGUCAGCGUGUACUCCUGGAUCGAAAGAUUUGGGUAACCCGCGAAUCUCCUUCGUGCUAGGGAUUGAGGUUUGCAAUUAUCCUUCAUGAACGAGGAAUUCCCAGUAAGUGCAAGUCAUAAGCUUGCGCUGACUACGUCCCUGCCCUUUGUACACACCGCCCGUCGCUACUACCGAUUGAAUGAUUUAGUGAGGACUUCGGACUGGGACCGAUGCGGCUUUCGGGCUGCGUCGGUAUUCUGGAAAGAUGUCCAAACUGUAUCAUUUAGAGGAAGUAAAAGUCGUAACA